UACGAAGGGUGCAAACGUUGCUCGGAAUCAUUGGGCGUAAAGCGCACGUAGGCGGCUUGCCAAGUCGGACGUGAAAUCCCUCAGCUCAACUGAGGACGUGCAUCCGAAACUGGCGAGCUUGAGUACUGAAGAGGAUCGCGGAAUUCCCGGUGUAGAGGUGAAAUUCGUAGAUAUCGGGAGGAACACCAGUGGCGAAGGCGGCGAUCUGGGCAGAUACUGACGCUGAGGUGCGAAAGCGUGGGGAGCAACAGG
This 252-nucleotide ribosomal RNA is filed under the name uncultured bacterium. Its description in RNAcentral is "partial 16S ribosomal RNA". It matches the Rfam family "Bacterial small subunit ribosomal RNA", at positions 524 to 775 of the family's 1533-position model. The record is from RNAcentral.